RNAcentral lists this ribosomal RNA (259 nucleotides) under Diversispora epigaea. Lineage: Eukaryota; Fungi; Glomeromycota; Glomeromycetes; Diversisporales; Diversisporaceae. The record is from RNAcentral.
CAGACUUGCAUUUCGGAGUUCAGCCGCAAGGUGUAUUCUUCAAUUUGCAGGCCAGCAUCAGUUUUUGGGGGUGGAAAAUCGCGAUUUGAAGGUAGCAGUCUCGGCUGUGUUAUAGCUUUUCGCUGGAUUCAUCCUUGGGGACUGAGGAACGCAGUACACUUUUUGCAAGGCUUUCGAGCUUUUCGUACUUAGGAUGCUGGUGGAAUGGCUUUAAACGACCCGUCUUGAAACGACGGACCAAGGAGUACUAACAUAUAUG